AGGACGAACGCUGGCGGCGCGCUUAACACAUGCAAGUCGAGCGAGAACCUUUCCUUCGGGAUUGGGGACAGCGGCGAACGGGUGAGUAACACGUGGGUAAUCUGCCCUUGACAUCGGGAUAGCCCGGGGAAACCCGGAUUAAUACCGAAUAGCCUCCGGAGCCCUCGGGCGCCGGAGAAAAGGUAGCUUCGGCCUCUGGUCAAGGAUGAGCCUGCGGCGGAUUAGCUUGUUGGCGGGGUAAUGGCCCACCAAGGCGACGAUCCGUAGCUGGUCUGAGAGGACGAUCAGCCACACUGGGACUGAGACACGGCCCAGACUCCUACGGGAGGCAGCAGUGGGGAAUCUUGCGCAAAUGCGGGAAACCGUGACGCAGCGACGCCGCGUGGGGGAAGAAGGCCUUCGGGUUGUAAACCGCUUUGCCGAGGGAGAGAACGGACGGUACUCGGCGAAUAAGGGCCGGCUAACUACGUGCCAGCAGCCGC
RNAcentral lists this ribosomal RNA (482 nucleotides) under uncultured bacterium. Its description in RNAcentral is "SSU rRNA". It matches the Rfam family "Bacterial small subunit ribosomal RNA", at positions 26 to 518 of the family's 1533-position model. The record is from RNAcentral.